This 469-nucleotide ribosomal RNA is filed under the name Brachythecium rivulare. RNAcentral describes it as "eukaryotic LSU rRNA". The stretch from base 1 to 125 matches the Rfam family "5.8S ribosomal RNA", at positions 29 to 154 of the family's 154-position model. The record is from RNAcentral. Lineage: Eukaryota; Viridiplantae; Streptophyta; Bryopsida; Hypnales; Brachytheciaceae.
UGCAUCGAUGAAGAACGCAGCGAAAUGCGAUACGUAGUGUGAAUUGCAGAAUUCCGCGAAUCAUCGAGUCUUUGAACGCAAGUUGCGCCCGAGGCUUGUCCGAGGGCAUUUCCGCUAGAGCGUCACCGCGCCCCCCACCGAUCCGCUCCCGCCGCGAGGCGCCAGUCGGGUCGAGUGCAAGUGGCCGUCCCGGCGAAGUGGCCUUCUUUCACGAGGAGUCCGCACUUGGAAGGGUCGGCUGAGAUGGAUGGAAUUGGGCCGCCGUGGUGACACAGUCCGCGAUCGGGUGAUUUUGUCGCGAGCCUCCCCCGGGAGGCUCUUGGUGAAUUUUUCUAAGUGCUUGGCUGCGUCCCCCAGUUGGCUCGGGUUACCUCAUGCAGGUCGAGCGCGCCCCCGCGGCGCGCGUCACGCAUCAGACCUCUAAUCGGAAAAGACUACCCGCUGAGUUUAAGCAUAUCAAUAAGCGGAG